RNAcentral lists this ribosomal RNA (497 nucleotides) under uncultured bacterium. RNAcentral's name for it is "partial 16S ribosomal RNA". It matches the Rfam family "Bacterial small subunit ribosomal RNA", at positions 28 to 507 of the family's 1533-position model. The record is from RNAcentral.
GAUGAACGCUGGCGGCGUGCCUAAUACAUGCAAGUCGAGCGAACAGACGAGGAGCUUGCUCCUCUGACGUUAGCGGCGGACGGGUGAGUAACACGUGGAUAACCUACCUAUAAGACUGGGAUAACUUCGGGAAACCGGAGCUAAUACCGGAUAAUAUAUUGAACCGCAUGGUUCAAUAGUGAAAGACGGUUUUGCUGUCACUUAUAGAUGGAUCCGCGCCGCAUUAGCUAGUUGGUAAGGUAACGGCUUACCAAGGCAACGAUGCGUAGCCGACCUGAGAGGGUGAUCGGCCACACUGGAACUGAGGCACGGUCCAGACUCCUACAGGAGGCAGCAGUAGGGAAUCUUCCGCAAUGGGCGAAAGCUUGACGGAGCAACGCCGCGUGAGUGAUGAAGGUCUUCGGAUCGUAAAACUCUGUUAUUAGGGAAGAACAAAUGUGUAAGUAACUAUGCACGUCUUGACGGUACCUAAUCAGAAAGCCACGGCUAACUACGUG